AACCGUUUGGAGCCAGACCGGCCGUUCUAUAAUCAAUCUCUGCCUCGGUGGGGAUGCACUUGUAGGACGUUGGCCUGCCAACAGCAAUUUUGUCUGGUGGAAAAAACCAGGAGGAAUGUGGCCCCUCGGGGUGUUAUAGCCUCCCGGAAAAUACAUCGGACGGGAUUGAGGACUGCAGUAAAUGCCUUUAGGCGAAAUACCUGGGCGCUUGUGUUGAGGACGUGUAGAAUCUCUGCUUCGGGUGGUGCUACGCUCUAAUGUGCAACUCGCCUAGAUUAUUU
This 281-nucleotide ribosomal RNA is filed under the name Backusella sp. Its description in RNAcentral is "partial large subunit ribosomal RNA". Lineage: Eukaryota; Fungi; Mucoromycota; Mucoromycetes; Mucorales; Backusellaceae. The record is from RNAcentral.